UGCACAAGUCCUGGGGCUGGUGAGGCGCGU
This 30-nucleotide non-coding RNA is filed under the name Mus musculus (house mouse). Lineage: Eukaryota; Metazoa; Chordata; Mammalia; Rodentia; Muridae. The record is from RNAcentral.